Molecule: long non-coding RNA, 638 nt
Organism: Pan paniscus (pygmy chimpanzee)
Lineage: Eukaryota; Metazoa; Chordata; Mammalia; Primates; Hominidae
Source: Ensembl
CCCCAGGAAGAUGUAAUCACCAGUAUUGUUAUUGAAGAGGGAGGAGGGGAGAAGAAAACCCCAAACAGCAGAAAACAUUCCUGAGUUCUGUGCGCAGUGCCUUUGAUGAGUGUGCUCAGAUUUUUUUCAUCAAGGUGGUUUUGAAUCAGUUGCAGGCCUUCUUUCAUGUGGGUAACUAUUUAAAGAUGUGAUAUUCGGGGCAAGCGUUUGUACCAACUCAUUUUCUCUGUCUUCUCCCAGGCCGCUGAGGACCGCACAGGGGAGCGGGCGGCGGCAUUGCGAGGAAUGACCACUGGGUGGCACUGUUGCUCCAUGGAGAGCUGCCAACGGCGUCCCCGGGGACCCGGCCACGUUGAGCACAAAAGGUGGGAUUUCUAAGGCAGAGGAGCCUGGCAACCAUGUCCCAAGUUGGAAGGAAGCUCUGAGAGCCCUGCUCCCCAGAAAUCCUGAGCAAAGGCCGGCUGGCCUACAGGAGCAGUCUAGAGUAAGAGCUGUUUCCUGGCAGAGGAUAAAGUAUCCAGGUCACAUUGAAGAGACAUGUGAGGACUCCAAUGGAGAACAAUUUGAGAGUGAGAAACCAGGUGAGGUGUUUCUCACUCUAGGAAAGUUAGUGAAUCUACCAUAGCUGGGAGACGAUG